AAGUCGUAACAAGGUUUCCGUAGGUGAACCUGCGGAAGGAUCAUUAACACUCCAAAACUUCUCAUAGCUCUGGGAAACCAGAGUUUAUGAAACCCUAUUCACCAAUGCGAACCCGGCAGGUGUUUUGUGUGUGUCUCUGCUCGCAGAGCACCCAGGCAUCUUGCUACUCUUUUGUCCAUUCUUUUUUUUUUAAACCCAACACACUUUUUCUUAUUGUCUGACUGGAAGGCUUUACUGUCUUCCGUUGCUCUUGCAGCUAAACCCUGUAAGGCAAUGAAAACUCUAAAAACAAAAACAAAAAAACAACUCUUAGCAACGGAUAUCUUGGUUCUC
Molecule: unclassified non-coding RNA, 333 nt
Filed under: fungal sp.
Lineage: Eukaryota; Fungi
Description: partial internal transcribed spacer region
Rfam family: Eukaryotic small subunit ribosomal RNA (bases 1-46)
Source: RNAcentral